RNAcentral lists this ribosomal RNA (395 nucleotides) under uncultured bacterium. RNAcentral's name for it is "bacterial SSU rRNA". It matches the Rfam family "Bacterial small subunit ribosomal RNA", at positions 521 to 916 of the family's 1533-position model. The record is from RNAcentral.
UAAUACGAAGGGGGCUAGCGUUGUUCGGAAUUACUGGGCGUAAAGCGCGCGCAGGCGGCUAUCCAAGUCAGUGGUGAAAGCCCGGGGCUCAACUCCGGAACUGCCAUUGAAACUGUUUAGCUUGAGUAUGAGAGAGGUGAGUGGAAUUCCCAGUGUAGAGGUGAAAUUCGUAGAUAUUGGGAAGAACACCGGUGGCGAAGGCGGCUCACUGGCUCAUUACUGACGCUCAGGCGCGACAGCGUGGGGAUCAAACAGGAUUAGAUACCCUGGUAGUCCACGCCGUAAACGAUGAAUGCUAGCCGUUGGGCAGCUUGCUGUUCAGUGGCGCAGCUAACGCAUUAAGCAUUCCGCCUGGGGAGUACGGCCGCAAGGUUGAAACUUAAAGGAAUUGACGG